CUACGUGCCAGCAGCCGCGGUAAUACGUAGGUGGCAAGCGUUGUCCGGAUUUAUUGGGCGUAAAGCGAGCGCAGGCGGUUCCUUAAGUCUGAUGUGAAAGCCCCCGGCUCAACCGGGGAGGGUCAUUGGAAACUGGGGAACUUGAGUGCAGAAGAGGAGAGUGGAAUUCCAUGUGUAGCGGUGAAAUGCGUAGAUAUAUGGAGGAACACCAGUGGCGAAGGCGACUCUCUGGUCUGUAACUGACGCUGAGGCUCGAAAGCGUGGGUAGCAAACAGGAUUAGAUACCCUGGUAGUCCACGCCGUAAACGAUGAGUGCUAAGUGUUGGAGGGUUUCCGCCCUUCAGUGCUGCAGUUAACGCAUUAAGCACUCCGCCUGGGGAGUACGACCGCAAGGUUGAAACUCAAAGGAAUUGACGGGGACCCGCACAGGCGGUGGAGCAUGUGGUUUAAUUCGAAGCAACGCGAAGAACCUUACCAAGUCUUGACAUCC
RNAcentral lists this ribosomal RNA (490 nucleotides) under uncultured bacterium. Its description in RNAcentral is "bacterial SSU rRNA". It matches the Rfam family "Bacterial small subunit ribosomal RNA", at positions 501 to 989 of the family's 1533-position model. The record is from RNAcentral.